UUAAGCGACUAAGCGUACACGGUGGAUGCCCUGGCAGUCAGAGGCGAUGAAGGACGUGCUAAUCUGCGAUAAGCGUCGGUGAGGUGAUAUGAACCGUUAUAACCGGCGAUUUCCGAAUGGGGAAACCCAGUGUGUUUCGACACACUAUCAUUAACUGAAUCCAUAAGUUAAUGAGGCGAACCGGGGGAACUGAAACAUCUAAGUACCCCGAGGAAAAGAAAUCAACCGAGAUUCCCCCAGUAGCGGCGAGCGAACGGGGAGGAGCCCAGAGCCUGAAUCAGUGUGUGUGUUAGUGGAAGCGUCUGGAAAGGCGCGCGAUACAGGGUGACAGCCCCGUACACAAAAAUGCACAUGCUGUGAGCUCGAUGAGUAGGGCGGGACACGUGGUAUCCUGUCUGAAUAUGGGGGGACCAUCCUCCAAGGCUAAAUACUCCUGACUGACCGAUAGUGAACCAGUACCGUGAGGGAAAGGCGAAAAGAACCCCGGCGAGGGGAGUGAAAAAGAACCUGAAACCGUGUACGUACAAGCAGUGGGAGCCUCUUAAUGGGGUGACUGCGUACCUUUUGUAUAAUGGGUCAGCGACUUAUAUUCUGUAGCAAGGUUAACCGAAUAGGGGAGCCGAAGGGAAACCGAGUCUUAACUGGGCGUUAAGUUGCAGGGUAUAGACCCGAAACCCGGUGAUCUAGCCAUGGGCAGGUUGAAGGUUGGGUAACACUAACUGGAGGACCGAACCGACUAAUGUUGAAAAAUUAGCGGAUGACUUGUGGCUGGGGGUGAAAGGCCAAUCAAACCGGGAGAUAGCUGGUUCUCCCCGAAAGCUAUUUAGGUAGCGCCUCGUGAAUUCAUCUCCGGGGGUAGAGCACUGUUUCGGCAAGGGGGUCAUCCCGACUUACCAACCCGAUGCAAACUGCGAAUACCGGAGAAUGUUAUCACGGGAGACACACGGCGGGUGCUAACGUCCGUCGUGAAGAGGGAAACAACCCAGACCGCCAGCUAAGGUCCCAAAGUCAUGGUUAAGUGGGAAACGAUGUGGGAAGGCCCAGACAGCCAGGAUGUUGGCUUAGAAGCAGCCAUCAUUUAAAGAAAGCGUAAUAGCUCACUGGUCGAGUCGGCCUGCGCGGAAGAUGUAACGGGGCUAAACCAUGCACCGAAGCUGCGGCAGCGACACUAUGUGUUGUUGGGUAGGGGAGCGUUCUGUAAGCCUGUGAAGGUGGCCUGUGAGGGUUGCUGGAGGUAUCAGAAGUGCGAAUGCUGACAUAAGUAACGAUAAAGCGGGUGAAAAGCCCGCUCGCCGGAAGACCAAGGGUUCCUGUCCAACGUUAAUCGGGGCAGGGUGAGUCGACCCCUAAGGCGAGGCCGAAAGGCGUAGUCGAUGGGAAACAGGUUAAUAUUCCUGUACUUGGUGUUACUGCGAAGGGGGGACGGAGAAGGCUAUGUUGGCCGGGCGACGGUUGUCCCGGUUUAAGCGUGUAGGCUGGUUUUCCAGGCAAAUCCGGAAAACCAAGGCUGAGGCGUGAUGACGAGGCACUACGGUGCUGAAGCGACAAAUGCCCUGCUUCCAGGAAAAGCCUCUAAGCAUCAGGUAACAUCAAAUCGUACCCCAAACCGACACAGGUGGUCAGGUAGAGAAUACCAAGGCGCUUGAGAGAACUCGGGUGAAGGAACUAGGCAAAAUGGUGCCGUAACUUCGGGAGAAGGCACGCUGAUAUGUAGGUGAAGCGACUUGCUCGUGGAGCUGAAAUCAGUCGAAGAUACCAGCUGGCUGCAACUGUUUAUUAAAAACACAGCACUGUGCAAACACGAAAGUGGACGUAUACGGUGUGACGCCUGCCCGGUGCCGGAAGGUUAAUUGAUGGGGUUAGCGGCAACGCGAAGCUCUUGAUCGAAGCCCCGGUAAACGGCGGCCGUAACUAUAACGGUCCUAAGGUAGCGAAAUUCCUUGUCGGGUAAGUUCCGACCUGCACGAAUGGCGUAAUGAUGGCCAGGCUGUCUCCACCCGAGACUCAGUGAAAUUGAACUCGCUGUGAAGAUGCAGUGUACCCGCGGCAAGACGGAAAGACCCCGUGAACCUUUACUAUAGCUUGACACUGAACAUUGAGCCUUGAUGUGUAGGAUAGGUGGGAGGCUUUGAAGUGUGGACGCCAGUCUGCAUGGAGCCGACCUUGAAAUACCACCCUUUAAUGUUUGAUGUUCUAACGUGGGCCCGUUAUCGGGGUUGCGGACAGUGUCUGGUGGGUAGUUUGACUGGGGCGGUCUCCUCCUAAAGAGUAACGGAGGAGCACGAAGGUUGGCUAAUCCUGGUCGGACAUCAGGAGGUUAGUGCAAUGGCAUAAGCCAGCUUGACUGCGAGCGUGACGGCGCGAGCAGGUGCGAAAGCAGGUCAUAGUGAUCCGGUGGUUCUGAAUGGAAGGGCCAUCGCUCAACGGAUAAAAGGUACUCCGGGGAUAACAGGCUGAUACCGCCCAAGAGUUCAUAUCGACGGCGGUGUUUGGCACCUCG
This 2500-nucleotide ribosomal RNA is filed under the name Escherichia coli UMEA 3152-1. Its description in RNAcentral is "bacterial LSU rRNA". It matches the Rfam family "Bacterial large subunit ribosomal RNA", at positions 1 to 2528 of the family's 2925-position model. Lineage: Bacteria; Pseudomonadati; Pseudomonadota; Gammaproteobacteria; Enterobacterales; Enterobacteriaceae. The record is from RNAcentral.